RNAcentral lists this RNase P RNA (461 nucleotides) under Opitutaceae bacterium. Its description in RNAcentral is "RNase P RNA component class A". It matches the Rfam family "Bacterial RNase P class A". Rfam says of the family: Ribonuclease P (RNase P) is a ubiquitous endoribonuclease, found in archaea, bacteria and eukarya as well as chloroplasts and mitochondria. Its best characterised activity is the generation of mature 5'-ends of tRNAs by cleaving the 5'-leader elements of precursor-tRNAs. RNAcentral also lists the same sequence under 1 other name. The record is from RNAcentral. Lineage: Bacteria; Pseudomonadati; Verrucomicrobiota; Opitutia; Opitutales; Opitutaceae.
CUUCGGGGCCUGGCGGUCGCUCCGUGUUCUUUGAUCCCAAGGUGCGGGUAACGCCGCGCCCGUUUUAUACAUGGAGAGGAAAGUCCGGACACCAUAGGGCAGGAUGCUGUGCCAGCUUCACGGCGAGCACAGGAGGCGCGUUUCAAGGCGCGUCGACGGAAAGUGUCACAGAGAAUAUACCGCCGCGCGGGCAACUGCGCGGUAAGGGUGAAAAGGUGGGGUAAGAGCCCACCGCGCCGACGGCGACGUCGGCGGCACGACAAACCCCUUCCGGUGCAAGGCAAAAUAGGUGACUGGGCGGCCCGUCCUUUAGUCACGGGUAUGCUGCAUCAUCCGACGUAAGUGCGCGCAAGCGCAGGAGCGAAGGAGGACUGGUUCGCCGCAAGGCGAACCCGAGAGAAAUGAUCGCCGAAGCGCCGCAAGGCGCAGAACAGAAUCCGGCUUACCGGCCCUGAAGCUAA